Molecule: long non-coding RNA, 1720 nt
Filed under: Rattus norvegicus (Norway rat)
Lineage: Eukaryota; Metazoa; Chordata; Mammalia; Rodentia; Muridae
Description: long non-coding RNA NONRATT026460
Source: RNAcentral
CUCGCAAUAAAACCAACUUUAAUCACAUGUCAUCCUGGCCAGCGGCCACUAGUCUUGGGGUGGAUGGAGCCCUUGGGGACUAUGGUAGGGCGUCCCGUAGCCCGCCAGCGACACCGCAGAUCCCUUAGGGAUUGCACUAAACCCUUGCCCCUCACUCUGCACCCAGCUUCUGCCCACCCACACCCACCUUGCCUUAACCGCCAGCCCGUCCCUAGGGGGCCGCAGCCACAGCAUGGGCCCAGCGCCGGGACAUCCCCAGCCCCCUAAAGGCCCUCCCCAAACCCCCCCCAUAUACUGCAAUCACAUACUGUAUAUAGAAUGUGGAUCGAUUUUUACAAAUUUUUAUUCUUUAAAUUAAGGCCGUGAUAAAAGUUGCCAAAGAGAAUUGUGGAAUUCACUAGAGGUUUGAGCAGAGGGUGCUAUAGAAAGGUUUUAUUUGGUUGUUUGGGGUGUGUGUGUGUGUGUGUGUGUGUGUGUGUGUGUGUGUGUGUCCCCUUUUUUUUUUUUUUUAAACUGCCUGGUACCAAUAACAAAAAGAAAAAGAAGAGAAAUUUGUUACUUCCAUUAUGGUGAAUUUGCGUGUGUGUGAGUGUGUGAGACAGAAGGGCCCAGGCUGUGGGGUUCUGGGGACCCCAGUGCUGGGGAGGUGACCAGCCUGCAGCUGGCACCAGCCUGUGACCUGAACAAGGCCACCCCUGCUGAGUAGUUGCUGCUCUUUGCCUUCCUGUCCCUACAGGCCUUUGGAGAUUAAGAAAAAAAAAAAAAAAAAGGCAAAAAAAUAAAAAAAUAUAAAAAUAAAAAUAAAAAGCAAAACCCUAUAUAUCUACAGAAACCAAUGAAUGUAAACGGCAGAGCAGGCCCCGCCAUGCUGGGCUCCAGUGGUAGAACCAAAGUGGGUGCCCUGGGGUGCUCAUUUAGGAGGACCCCCGAGUGGCCACCACCCUGUCACCCUUUUGAGCACAGCUGACCCGAGGGUGCUCUGGUGGGUCCCCUUGGGUAGCCAGGGAAUGCUGCCGCUGUGGCAGGCACAAUGGCAGCCUGGAAGUCCAGGCGGAAACUGGGCUGGUCGUUCAGGGGAAGGCAGUGUGAGUAGCAGGGUGUGUAGGAGGGACACAGGCUGAAAGGAAAAAUAGAAAAAAACAAAAAAACCACAAAAACCAACAAAAAAAGAAAAAGCAAAAUCCUAUUUUUUGAGAAAGAAAGAUAUUUAUAUUUGCAGUUUUAUUUUAAAAAGUUAUUUAAGCUGAGGAAACAGCCUUCCCGGAGGUGGGGGUGGCUGGCACCGGACGGGUCAGGGGUCUUGGGGGGCUCCUCACCCCAGAAAUGAUUAUCUCAGUUCAGAACUAGCUCGCACUAAAUAUAUACUGAUUUACCUUUGUGGGGGGGCAGGGAGGCCAAGAGACAGAGGGCCAGGGGAAUCCCACCCCAAGCCCAGAACGAGGUGCCUUGGAAUUUGGGGCCCCAGGCCUGGUGCAUGGGGGUCCAGAGCACAGAACAGACAUUCCACUGACCGGAUGUAAGAAUCUUUAUAAAAAGUGUGGGAGGCAGAACGAAAACAAAUCAACUGAUUAAAGAAAAAUGCACUUUUUGGGGGUGGGGGGACAAGCUUUAAAAGUAAUUAAAAAACAACAAAAGAUUAUGAAAAAUCCGAAAAAAUAGAAUUCAUUUUUCUUGUACAUAAAAGAGAAAAACCCAACCACUAAAUGCAGCCUGUUACGAU